Long non-coding RNA from Lynx canadensis (Canada lynx), 507 nucleotides. RefSeq lists it as uncharacterized. NCBI's taxonomy places the organism in Eukaryota, Metazoa, Chordata, Mammalia, Carnivora, Felidae. The record is from RefSeq and is a predicted model, not a curated record. The transcript has 2 exons.
GGAGACUCAAAACUGUCCCCGCCAGGGGCCCCCGGCGGAGGGACACCUGGCACCGUCUGCACGACAGCAGCUGGCUGGAUCACGCCUUCCUGGAAAAACAGUUGGCAACUGGCUUCAGUUUCAGGACCACACCCUUGGGCAACAGCAGUGGGUACGGAGUUUCACUCCCCAGUUCCGAGCUGCCUGUCCCCAGGCCUGGCUCUGAGCUGACCUCAGCGGCUCCCGUCACACCUCCUACCCCUCUGGCGCCGUCAGCUCUGCGCCACAGCUCCUCCUGGAUGGACGGCAGGCUGGCCUAUUGAGAAUAAGAACACACAGAUCCAGCACAUGUCAGACUCUGGCAAAAAGAACAGGGCUUCCUGGAUUUGAGGGGCCUUUCCCGGACAGUCUUGAGAAAUCUUUCUAAGGUUUCUCCUGCAGGACACAAAAUUUCUACAAAGACUACAUUCCAAUCACAGCCUCUAGAAAUGCAUUUGACCCACCACUUAUCGAAGGCUGUGGAGCCAC